Molecule: ribosomal RNA, 253 nt
Filed under: uncultured bacterium
Lineage: Bacteria
Description: partial 16S ribosomal RNA
Rfam family: Bacterial small subunit ribosomal RNA
Source: RNAcentral
UACGUAGGGUGCAAGCGUUAAUCGGAAUUACUGGGCGUAAAGCGUGCGCAGGCGGUUUUGUAAGUCUGAUGUGAAAUCCCCGGGCUCAACCUGGGAAUUGCGAUGGAGACUGCAAGGCUUGAAUCUGGCAGAGGGGGGUAGAAUUCCACGUGUAGCAGUGAAAUGCGUAGAGAUGUGGAGGAACACCGAUGGCGAAGGCAGCCCCCUGGGUCAAGAUUGACGCUCAUGCACGAAAGCGUGGGGAGCAAACCGG